This 338-nucleotide unclassified non-coding RNA is filed under the name Conocybe nitrophila. Its description in RNAcentral is "partial internal transcribed spacer region". The stretch from base 1 to 46 matches the Rfam family "Eukaryotic small subunit ribosomal RNA", at positions 1786 to 1831 of the family's 1831-position model. The record is from RNAcentral. Lineage: Eukaryota; Fungi; Basidiomycota; Agaricomycetes; Agaricales; Bolbitiaceae. RNAcentral also lists the same sequence under 1 other name.
AAGUCGUAACAAGGUUUCCGUAGGUGAACCUGCGGAAGGAUCAUUACAGAGUAAACUUGGUGGGUUGUUGCUGGCUCUCAAUUGAGCAUGUGCACACCUGUCAUCUUUAUCUUUCCACCCUGUGCACUUUCUGUAGGACUGGAAUAGACACUAAGCCUAGUCACUUGUGGGCUAUUGGAAAGUUGCUGAUUUUCUCAUCUCUUUCUGUUUCUGGCUGUCUAUUCUAGGCUCUACGAUAUUUCUAUAUACACCAUGUAUGUCAAUGAACGCAAUCAAUGGGGCCCAUAAAGCCCUAUAAAUCUAUAAUACAACUUUCAGCAACGGAUCUCUUGGCUCUC